This 253-nucleotide ribosomal RNA is filed under the name uncultured bacterium. RNAcentral describes it as "partial 16S ribosomal RNA". It matches the Rfam family "Bacterial small subunit ribosomal RNA", at positions 524 to 776 of the family's 1533-position model. The record is from RNAcentral.
UACGAAGGAUGCAAGCGUUAUCCGGAAUUAUUGGGUUUAAAGGGUGCGUAGGCGGACCUGUAAGUCAGUGGUGAAAGCCUGUUGCUUAACAACAGAACUGCCAUUGAUACUGCAAGUCUUGAGUACAGUUGAGGUAGGCGGAAUGUGUCAUGUAGCGGUGAAAUGCUUAGAUAUGACAUAGAAUACCAAUUGCGAAGGCAGCUGGCUACACGAAUAUUGACACUCAGGCACGAAAGCGUGGGGAUCAAACAGG